This 72-nucleotide transfer RNA is filed under the name Candidatus Pacearchaeota archaeon CG1_02_31_27. RNAcentral's name for it is "tRNA-Thr". It matches the Rfam family "tRNA". Rfam says of the family: Transfer RNA (tRNA) molecules are approximately 80 nucleotides in length. RNAcentral also lists the same sequence under 3 other names. Lineage: Archaea; Nanobdellati. The record is from RNAcentral.
GCCUCUGUAGCUCAGUGGUAGAGCAUCUGCUUCGUAAGCAGGGGGUCACAGGUUCAAGUCCUGUCAGGGGCU